Molecule: ribosomal RNA, 366 nt
Filed under: uncultured bacterium
Lineage: Bacteria
Description: bacterial SSU rRNA
Rfam family: Bacterial small subunit ribosomal RNA
Source: RNAcentral
AGCGAACGCUGGCGGCAGGCCUAACACAUGCAAGUCGAACGCCCCGCAAGGGGAGUGGCAGACGGGUGAGUAACGCGUGGGAACAUACCCUUCGGUUCGGAAUAACUCAGGGAAACUUGGGCUAAUACCGGAUACGUCCGUGAGGAGAAAGAUUUAUCGCCGAAGGAUUGGCCCGCGUAAGAUUAGCUAGUUGGUGAGGUAACGGCUCACCAAGGCUAUGAUCUUUAGCUGGUCUGAGAGGACGAUCAGCCACACUGGGACUGAGACACGGCCCAGACUCCUACGGGAGGCAGCAGUGGGGAAUAUUGGACAAUGGGCGCAAGCCUGAUCCAGCCAUGCCGCGUGAGUGAUGAAGGCCUUAGGGUU